Molecule: ribosomal RNA, 467 nt
Filed under: uncultured bacterium
Lineage: Bacteria
Description: partial 16S ribosomal RNA
Rfam family: Bacterial small subunit ribosomal RNA
Source: RNAcentral
GACGAACGCUGGCGGCGUGCUUAACACAUGCAAGUCGAACGGAAAGGCCCUGCUUUUGUGGGGUGCUCGAGUGGCGAACGGGUGAGUAACACGUGAGUAACCUGCCCUUGACUUUGGGAUAACUUCAGGAAACUGGGGCUAAUCCCGGAUAGGAGCUCCUGCUGCAUGGUGGGGGUUGGAAAGUUUCGGCGGUUGGGGAUGGACUCGCGGCUUAUCAGCUUGUUGGUGGGGUAGUGGCUUACCAAGGCUUUGACGGGUAGCCGGCCUGAGAGGGUGACCGGCCACAUUGGGACUGAGAUACGGCCCAGACUCCUACGGGAGGCAGCAGUGGGGAAUAUUGCACAAUGGGCGGAAGCCUGAUGCAGCAACGCCGCGUGCGGGAUGACGGCCUUCGGGUUGUAAACCGCUUUCGCCUGUGACGAAGCGUGAGUGACGGUAAUGGGUAAAGAAGCACCGGCUAACUACGU